AAAUAUCUGCUCGUUUUCUCAAGACAUCGCAUAUUAGCGACAGUUCUCUUCCGUGUUGCUAAUAGCCGGCUAGCUAGCUAGCGCCGUUAGCACCGCUAGCGUAUGACGACACUACGCAAUGACGACACUCAACGGCGCGCGUCUCUUCGCCCCUCCUCCGCUUUGACAUUGACCGUCGACGUGAUUUUGUAAGACAACGUGGCUAUCGUUUCACCGGUAACGCGUUUUCCCCCCUCCUCCGCUUUGGACUUGAACUUACAGUGAUUUUCUGAAGUGUUUACUAAGACACACCGUAAGCUUUUACAAGGCGUUAACUACAGCAGCCUUUAAUACCUGAACUCUUGAUUCAGCCAAGGUAAGUGCCCCCCCUUAUAUUUUCUAUGUAUGUGUUCAGCUGAUAUUUAGAAACAAAUAGGUGUGUUUAGCGCUGGAUGUCAUUUUAUUCCAGAGCUGUUGUUUGUAAUUAAAACUUUUAAGAUUAGGUGGUACAGUGUUUUUACUCCCUUCCAAACAGUAAAGUUCCUCUUUGUCUCUCAGUAGGAAAUUUAAACCAGACAGUACAAGGCUACAUUUCAGUGUUACAAGCCAAUCAGUUUGCUAAUUGUUCUGUGAGAUUUGUUUGCAAAGUUUAAGGUGUUAAGUAGGACUGUGAACAUCUGGGUCUGCUUGCUGCUGGCAUUCUGCCAGAGCCCCAGCAACAAGACCGCCUCCCAGCAACGAGACUGCCUGUCAGCCUUGCAAGGUACCCAAUUUUCCAAUUACUCUAUAACAAAACUGUUGUGGGCAACAAGACUGUCUCCUAAGUUUGCAAGCCAAUCACUUUGCCAAAUGUUCUUGUAAGAUUUGUUUGAAAAGUUUGAGGUGUUAAGUAGGACUGUGAACAUCUGGGUUUGCUUGCUGCUGGCAUUCGACCAGCGUCUCAGCAACAACACUGCCUCCCAGCUUUGCAAGGUAAUUACUUUCCCAAUUACUGUACACCAAAACGAAGUAACUGUCGUGGUCAACAAAUCUGCCUCCCAACUUUCAAGGUAAUCACUUUCUCAAUUACAAUAUACAAACUGUUAUGGAACAGAGAUUUUUUUGUUCUUGUAGUCAUCUUAUCUGUCAAUGUAUCAGAGGGUUAAAAUAACAAAUUGCUUGAAAUGCCAAUAAUUAAUAUUCUGUUUUUAUGUUGACAUUCUACCAGAUGCCGAGAAAAAAUAAAAGAUCCCAGGCACAAAAGAAGCGCUGGAAACCACUUGACCUGGUCGAUCCUGCUGUCCCAAUGCUCACUGGCCACAACCAAGAUGAGGCAGUCAGUAGUUUUCCAUCUGACCAGCAGACAGCACCAGCCGGGUUAUCUUUGGAAACACAGGAUAGACCCACCUCCUUAUGUUCCCCAGGUACCAAGAUUUCAGACAAUCGUCCACCAGCAAAACGAGUCUGGACAACUGAUGAUUUCCACAUGGCAUCAAAUUCUCCACCUAAAAAGCCUUUCCACAACAUAAAUGAACAACUACUGACAGAGGAGCUACAGAGAAACGCAGUUCAGAACUUCUGGUGUGUCAGUGCAACUCAUUGUCAAAGUGAUGAAAGGUACACAGAAUUCUCUCGAAAUCAUCAGUGCACAUGUAAUGCCCUCACAUUCCUGGCCUGCCUUAAUGAGGAACACCAGUUCAACACAGCCCGACUUGAUAAGGUGCUUGAACAGGGAGAUGCACUCUACUGUUGGAUUAAAACAAAUCUUCA
Long non-coding RNA from Oreochromis aureus, 1728 nucleotides. RefSeq lists it as uncharacterized. Lineage: Eukaryota; Metazoa; Chordata; Actinopteri; Cichliformes; Cichlidae. The record is from RefSeq and is a predicted model, not a curated record. The transcript is spliced from 5 exons.